GAUGAACGCUGGCGGCGUGCCUAAUACAUGCAAGUCGAGCGAACGGACGAGAAGCUUGCUUCUCUGAUGUUAGCGGCGGACGGGUGAGUAACACGUGGAUAACCUACCUAUAAGACUGGGAUAACUUCGGGAAACCGGAGCUAAUACCGGAUGAUAUUUUGAACCGCAUGGUUCAAAAGUGAAAGACGGUCCUGCUGUCACUUAUAGAUGGAUCCGCGCUGCAUUAGCUAGUUGGUAAGGUAACGGCUUACCAAGGCAACGAUGCAUAGCCGACCUGAGAGGGUGAUCGGCCACACUGGAACUGAGACACGGUCCAUACUCCUACGGGAGGCAGCAGUAGGGAAUCUUCCGCAAUGGGCGAAAGCCUGACGGAGCAACGCCGCGUGAGUGAUGAAGGUCUUCGGAUCGUAAAACUCUGUUAUUAGGGAAGAACAUAUGUGUAAGUAACUGUGCACAUCUUGACGGUACCUAAUCAGAAAGCCACGGCUAACUACGUG
RNAcentral lists this ribosomal RNA (497 nucleotides) under uncultured bacterium. RNAcentral describes it as "partial 16S ribosomal RNA". It matches the Rfam family "Bacterial small subunit ribosomal RNA", at positions 28 to 507 of the family's 1533-position model. The record is from RNAcentral.